This 4053-nucleotide long non-coding RNA is filed under the name Mus musculus (house mouse). RNAcentral describes it as "long non-coding RNA chr3:126441011-126445064". Lineage: Eukaryota; Metazoa; Chordata; Mammalia; Rodentia; Muridae. The record is from RNAcentral.
GUUCUGAGAACCCGUGGAUGCAUCUUCGAGCUAGCGCUGAAACUGCACUAAAAUGGGCCAGAUGAGUAAAAAAAUGCUUAAUUUUACUAUUUUUGUUUCUAAAGAGUAAUGCUCCAUUUUGCUAUAUAGCAUUUCCUGAAGUUUUGUCUUAUAGAAACAGUGUCAAUACAGGCCUUUCUUGGUAGAAUGCAAAAUGGUGUUGUGACUUCCAUAAUAUAAGGUUUUGUUAUAGUACAGCUAUUUAGAAGAACAAUAGGUUUUUUAAAAAUCCUUGGUUGAUCCACACAUGUUGGUGCACACCUUUAAUCCCAUAACUUGGGAAGUAGAGGCCAGUGGAUCUCCCUGAGUUCAAAACCUGCCUAGUCUAUAUAGCAAUUUUCAGGCCAGACAGGAUUAUAGAGACCCUGGGAGAAAAACAAAAAGAAACAAAAACAUUAAAACAUUAACUAAUGCAUACUUUUUCAAAGCCCACUUGGCAUUAUAAUUACAAGAGAUGAGAAUUUCUACAUAGCCUUUUGCCAUUUAUUUUAUCAUAAAAAUUCUUCUUUAUAAUUCAUUAUAUUGGACUAGGAUUCUGGCAGAAUGUAAAAUUGCUACUACAAGCAUAGAAUCUUACCAUGCAAUUUUCUAUAUGUUCCUUAAUGGCAGAGGGACCAAAAAAGGAUCAAAGAGGUAAAUUAAGAUUGUGAAUUCUAACCCAUAUGGGAGCCCAGUUACCUAUUGUGGUGGGAUUAUUUGUUCUCCAUAAAUAACCAUAAAUUCUUAAUACUGAAUAUAAGCCAAAAGUUUCCUGACAGGAAAUGGCUCUAGAAUUAUCUGUUGCUACUUUGAAAAUACAUUUAUUUAUUCUUUGUAGGGUUUGUCUAUGUAGGCAAUGUAUUCUGAUCACCCUACCCACUCCCACAGAACUUCUUUUCCCAAUAAGUCUCCCUCCUGCCCUUUGCCCAUGGUCCUGGGUGGGCUAAUGAAGAAAAGGCUCAGUGUCUCACUCUUUGGAAAUUUAAAAGAAUGAACAAAAUUGUUUCCCAAGCACUCUCAACAAAUCACUGUGCAUCCCCAGAUGGCUCAGAAGGGAUGCACCUUCUAACCUACUCCAGCUCUGUACCCCAUUGCCUGUUCCCUUCUGGCUAAGGCUCCGGAUGCAUUUCUCUGCUGCCUUUGGCUUUCUCAAGAAUAAACUAGGUCAUUUAGGACUUCUGAUCCUUUCUUGAGGAUGACCCUAGAAAUCCCCACUCGCUUUGCCAGGAAAUAAUUUGUGGAGGUGGCUAUUUGGACAGGAUGGGAAUGGAGAUUAAGAAUGGUGUCUUCAAACAAACAAACAAAAAUUACAAAACAGUUUUGUAUGAAGAACUUUACAGUCUGGAACCACAGAGCUCUUACCUGUCUAGUCUGCUGCAAAAACUCAUUUCAUCUGUAUUUAUGAAUAUACUCACAUUUCUCACUUUCCUAAAUAUUGAUGAAUAUUAUAAUUUUCUUGAUCAAGAUUCCAUUAAAAAUCUUAACUGGAAAGCUGUGCCACAGAAAGUUGAAUAAUUAUAGUUAAUAUAUUUUACAUUUUGAUUCUCCAAGGAAUUUGCCUUCAGGAUUGGUUCUUCUUCUUUGUAAUACUCAUAAGUAUGUAAAUUGUGACUGUGUAGUAGCUGACAGGAAGAAAUUGCCUAACCCAGCAAACAAAUCCGCACAUGAUAAGCCAGUAGCUAUUUUGUUUCUUAAGGGUUUAAAAAACACAUCACAAUAUUCAUUUAUUUAACAGCUGUUUACAAUGGUUUGCCUUUUUGUAGGUUACUUUCUAGCCAAGGACUUUCUAGCCAAAUAAGUACUCAAUAAAUAAAAAAACAAAAUCAAACAAGAACAGGUUAGUUAGGUGCUGAACAGAAAACUCAUAUAAAAGACAUAAAGAUUACGUGUGUGCCACCACGUCCGGCCUUCCUUUUUACUUUUAAACAAGGUCUCAUAUAGCCCAGGAUGUCCAAAUGCACUUAACUAAACUAUAAAAGGAUGACGGUUCAGUUACAGUUCUAUUGCAAUGAAGAGACUCUGUGACGAAGGCAACUCAUAUAAGAAAGCGUUUCAUUGGGGGUCCAUUUACAAUUUCAAGGGUCACUCCAUUACUGUUAUGGCAGGGAACACAGGAACAGGCAGGCAGGCAUGGUGCUGGAGAAGUAGCUGAAGCUUAUAUUAUAUCUACAAGUUGGAGGCAGAAAGGGGCUGGGCAGCGGUGAGCAUUUAAACCUCAAAGCCCCUCCCAGUGACACUCCUCUUCCAGAAGGCCACACCUUCUAAUCCUUCCUUAAAAAUCCAUCACCUAGAAACAAAGCAUUGAAAUAUAUGAGCUUAUGGGGGCCUUUCUUAUCCAUACCACCACAAUGAUCUUGAACUUCAGAAUGCUGUGUGGGGUAGUGGAUUCUGAGAGGAAGUCUGGUCCUCUGUGUAGCUAAAGCUUGAAGCCCCAGACACCAUGAAGGGACCAUAGGAGGGUUGCUUGCUCCCAGUAUCAGGCCUCUGUCUCAUAGCCACAGCCCCCCAUAGAUUUGGGGCCAACAGUCAAGGGCAACACCCAAGCCUUUCCAUAUGUAGAUGAGGCAUCUCUUACAUCUCAGACCAAAACAAUAGGGAAAGAGAAGUGACCUGUUAUCAUGAAGGCUCAAGACAGAGGUCUCCAUGCUAAUGAGGUACCCAGAGGUCCAGAGGUGGUUGCCAAUAACAUUCCUCCCUGCCAAAGCUAUGUAAAUUAAGGCCCACCCUGAGAAGAUUUAAACACCCACUUUCCACCAUGACAAUAAGUGCUUCAGAACCAAGAACUGCCUCUUAGUAUGGGGGAGACAUGCCUACAGAGCUUCAGCCUAGUCUCUCCUGGAAGGCCUCUCUGCCUUCCCAGCCGCUAUCACCACCAAGCCUGCCACUUGGCAACCCAAAGACUCUCCCCGUGGGACCAGCGGGAGCUCUACUUUCCACCUCCCCCAACACCAGGCUAGACCCAGCUGGUGGGCCCCACUCUGUUCUCAGUUCUUCUGCGACUAUAAAUGGCUCACAGUUGUCCAAGAGCCUAAGAACCCCACGACCCUGACCCAGGCCCAGGGACCCCCCGAGCCAGCUCCCACUUUUUCAUAACUCAGACUGAGCUUUCCCACCCCGGAGCGGUGCAUCUGGGCUACCCCUACAGCUCAGCAACCCUCUUGGUGGCGUCAUGGGAUGUGUGCAGUUAAAGUCUGCAUUCUGCAAUUCUGCCAAGUGGCCGUAAACUGUGGCGAAGAGGACAAGGGACACCCCGCCCCCCGCUUGCCCCAACCCUACAAUCCUGCCUCUACUUCUAAAGUGCUGCGAUUACAGAUGUGUGCCACCAUACCUAGUUUAGAAUUAAUUAUGUUUAAUAGCAUUCCUCAUAAUAACAAAAGUGACAUAAAGUAGAGAAGUUUCUAGCGCUAUAAAAAACCUUGUUUACUGGAACAGAGUGUCUCAGUCAAAACCUUAGCAAAAAUCAAAUAAAAUGGAGAGCAAAUUUUAUCUAUAUCAUUUUUAUUUCCUCAUAACACAGAACAUUGCCUUUCUAACACAGCUUUGAGUAUUUCAAAGUGCACGAGCUUUAAGCAAUCUCCAGGAAACAAACAGGGGCUGAAAUUGUGAAUGAUUUGUUUGUACCAUUUGGGGAAAGGAAAAAAAAAUGUAAUUAUCAGAUAAAUUUUUGUGUCUCCAUAGGGAUAUGGAAGCUAAAUGGUUUAUGGUUCACAUCUUGGUUUUGUUUGGUUUUCUUGUUUGUUCGUUUGUUUGUUUUUGUAAAACUCUCCAGUUUGACAAGAGUAAGAAUCCUGGUUUUGGAAAAGAUAUGCCCUUCUUAUUCAUAUUACCGGCUGGACAUCUGAAUGAUGUUGAUUCAUUGACUGGCAUCAUGAUGUUCUAGGAAGUUACAGAGUUUAAACUAUACCUACCCAAAUAUUGACUGCACUUCUCUGAUUUAAAAUUUCCUUUCUCUCAAAUUUGUCACAAUCUUGUCACAGUCUCUGUCAAAUGGAAAAUACAACUAUGGGGAACAAUAAAUCUCUAUGUUGAAAUGCA